AGUAAAAUGCCUGAUUAAAGGGCUAUCUUGAUAGGAUAAAAUAUGUAUAAUUUAUACUUUUACUA
RNAcentral lists this transfer RNA (65 nucleotides) under Dermacentor variabilis (American dog tick). RNAcentral's name for it is "tRNA-Ile". Lineage: Eukaryota; Metazoa; Arthropoda; Arachnida; Ixodida; Ixodidae. The record is from RNAcentral.